ACUCCUACGGGAGGCAGCAGUGGGGAAUAUUGCACAAUGGGGGAAACCCUGAUGCAGCCAUGCCGCGUGUGUGAAGAAGGCCUUCGGUUGUAAAGCACUUUCAGUAGGGAGGAAGGUAGUGUAGUUAACACCUGCAUUAUUUGACGUUACCUACAGAAGAAGCACCGGCUAACUCCGUGCCAGCAGCCGCGGUAAUACGGAGGGUGCGAGCGUUAAUCGGAAUUACUGGGCGUAAAGCGCAUGCAGGCGGCCUGUUAAGUCAGAUGUGAAAGCCCGGGGCUUAACCUCGGAAUUGCAUUUGAAACUGGCAGGCUAGAGUCUUGUAGAGGGGGGUAGAAUUUCAGGUGUAGCGGUGAAAUGCGUAGAGAUCUGAAGGAAUACCAGUGGCGAAGGCGGCCCCCUGGACAAAGACUGACGCUCAGAUGCGAAAGCGUGGGGAGCAAACAGGAUUAGAUA
RNAcentral lists this ribosomal RNA (456 nucleotides) under uncultured bacterium. RNAcentral's name for it is "bacterial SSU rRNA". It matches the Rfam family "Bacterial small subunit ribosomal RNA", at positions 335 to 784 of the family's 1533-position model. The record is from RNAcentral.